Gopherus evgoodei (Goodes thornscrub tortoise) is the source of this 177-nucleotide long non-coding RNA. RefSeq lists it as uncharacterized. Lineage: Eukaryota; Metazoa; Chordata; Testudines; Testudinidae. The record is from RefSeq and is a predicted model, not a curated record. The transcript has 3 exons.
GAUGGUCAGGCUCAACAAGAACUGAUCAAUGGCUUGAUGUCUAGUUGGCAACCGGUAUCAAAUGGAGUGUCCCAGUGGUCGGUCCUGGGGCCUAUUUUGUUCAAAAUCUUUAUUAAUUAUUUGGAUGAUGGUAUGGAUUGCACCCUCAGCAAGCUCGUGGAUGACACUAAGCUGAGG